AUGCUUAGCUGGCAGGGGAGUGAUUUUCUCAGGGCAAUUCUUAUCCAUUACACUCUGGAUGUGCUGACCCCUGUGAUUUCCCCAAAUGUGGGGAAACUUUACAUAAUUUGUGGUAGUGGGGGACUGCAUUAGUGCUCUCCCCUC
This 144-nucleotide small nuclear RNA is filed under the name Mustela putorius furo (domestic ferret). RNAcentral describes it as "U1 spliceosomal RNA". It matches the Rfam family "U1 spliceosomal RNA". From Rfam's summary of the family: U1 is a small nuclear RNA (snRNA) component of the spliceosome (involved in pre-mRNA splicing). Its 5' end forms complementary base pairs with the 5' splice junction, thus defining the 5' donor site of an intron. The record is from Rfam by way of RNAcentral. Lineage: Eukaryota; Metazoa; Chordata; Mammalia; Carnivora; Mustelidae.